This 301-nucleotide ribosomal RNA is filed under the name uncultured bacterium. RNAcentral's name for it is "partial 16S ribosomal RNA". It matches the Rfam family "Bacterial small subunit ribosomal RNA", at positions 509 to 809 of the family's 1533-position model. The record is from RNAcentral.
CAGCAGCCGCGGUAAUACGUAGGUGGCAAGCGUUGUCCGGAAUUAUUGGGCGUAAAGGGCUCGCAGGCGGUUUCUUAAGUCUGAUGUGAAAGCCCCCGGCUCAACCGGGGAGGGUCAUUGGAAACCGGGAAACUUGAGUGCAGAAGAGGAGAGUGGAAUUCCACGUGUAGCGGUGAAAUGCGUAGAGAUGUGGAGGAACACCAGUGGCGAAGGCGACUCUCUGGUCUGUAACUGACGCUGAGGAGCGAAAGCGUGGGGAGCGAACAGGAUUAGAUACCCGAGUAGUCCCUGUCUCUUAUAU